Molecule: long non-coding RNA, 208 nt
Filed under: Elaeis guineensis (African oil palm)
Lineage: Eukaryota; Viridiplantae; Streptophyta; Magnoliopsida; Arecales; Arecaceae
Description: long non-coding RNA (EGUI_LNC045080)
Source: RNAcentral
GCCAAUUGGAUGAUUGGAUUCAUUAGUUACUAAGGUAUUUUGGUUUAGUCCAUGCUAAUUAGAUCGAUCACAUGAUGACUGAUUAGAUGAGACCUAACUUAAACCUUUCUAAUUAAUAUUAAGCCUUGUGGUCUUCCACCAUUGUAGAAGUACGGACGUGAUACUGGCGACUAUUUUUGGUUGGUUACAGUAGUUUAGUUGUAUCAGA